This 577-nucleotide ribosomal RNA is filed under the name uncultured bacterium. Its description in RNAcentral is "bacterial SSU rRNA". It matches the Rfam family "Bacterial small subunit ribosomal RNA", at positions 96 to 658 of the family's 1533-position model. The record is from RNAcentral.
UGGCGGACGGGUGAGUAACACGUACCUUACCUGCCCAGAAGCGGGGGACAACAUUUGGAAACAGAUGCUAAUACCGCAUAGCAACGUUGUUCGCAUGAACAACGCUUAAAAGAUGGCUUCUCGCUAUCACUUCUGGAUGGACCUGCGGUGCAUUAGCUUGUUGGUGGGGUAACGGCCUACCAAGGCGAUGAUGCAUAGCCGAGUUGAGAGACUGAUCGGCCACAAUGGGACUGAGACACGGCCCAUACUCCUACGGGAGGCAGCAGUAGGGAAUCUUCCACAAUGGGCGCAAGCCUGAUGGAGCAACACCGCGUGAGUGAAGAAGGGUUUCGGCUCGUAAAGCUCUGUUGUUAAAGAAGAACACGUAUGAGAGUAACUGUUCAUACGUUGACGGUAUUUAACCAGAAAGUCACGGCUAACUACGUGCCAGCAGCCGCGGUAAUACGUAGGUGGCAAGCGUUAUCCGGAUUUAUUGGGCGUAAAGAGAGUGCAGGCGGUUUUCUAAGUCUGAUGUGAAAGCCUUCGGCUUAACCGGAGAAGUGCAUCGGAAACUGGAUAACUUGAGUGCAGAAGAGGG